UCACAAGUGUUAGCACCCUUUCAUCCAGAUAUAGUCACUUAUGGCUCCAGCAUGGAAACCAACGUUGCGCAAAUGGCCCAAACAGCCCAAGCACAAAUGGUCAGUGGGUGACGGCACGGUGGCUUAGUCCAUCUUAAAUACACAGUCUGUGAGUGACAUUUGCAUGUGUGUUUAAAGUGCUAAAACAGAUUUGAAAAACUCAACAGUAAUGCCCAUUUCCAAAAUCAUGAUCCAUUUACUCUUCCUACAGAACUACACCCAUGACUGUGCAGAAGAAACCUUUCAUUUUCCCAUGACAAGAGCAGACAUUAUUUGGAAAAUAGUACAUUAAAGGUUUCUGAAUUAAGUGGGCCCUGCUCUGCCGAGUUUUUCAAAUCCUAACCCUAACCUGUUGCACACAAAUAUUUAAGAGACGUUUAGUUCCAUUAUACCGAAGAGACGAGAAGGCAAAAAUCUUUACAGCCAAUACACAAGAUAGGAAUGGAGUGAAAGCAUGGCAGGCCACAGGGAAGAUGUGCAAAUGUGAUUUUAGGGUGACUUAUUCCUUUAAGUAGAGCUACUUCUUUCUGUAAUACUUUCCCAAAAAAUACAGUUUACAUCAGAAGAAUAUAAAUUGAAAUUGAUUUAAUUUCUUCCCCAGAGAAUAACUCUGUUUGUUUUAUUGACCUUUCCCUGACCUUUCUUGUGGCGCCUUCAGGAAAAUUUAACAAAUUUAUUCCUAGGAUGGAAAACCCCAGAUAUCUUAACCAGUACUUUCAUACUGAUUUAAAAUGUUGAGAGGGCUUGAUUUGAUGAGGAACUUACUGCAAUCCGUUGUUAUGUCUGUUUUCACUCCUGCUUACAUAGAGACACUUACAUACAGAGACUACAGCAACAUGCCCAAUUGUGUCUGUUUCUAAUCUGCACCAUGCUGUGUUGGCGUCACAAGCGGUAUACUAUCUGUGCCUGAGACAGACACCAAACAUGCGAAAGCCUGACUCUCGUGGGGAAAACCUGGACCACCGAGUCAGUCUUUGUGAUGGCAACCCGACUCGUGACAAAUAUCCAGCAUUCCUUUUUUGGCGAUGGACUACAGGCCUGGUCAGCAGCCUUAAUUAUGCAAUGACAACCAACUCCAAAACUGCUAAAAACAAGUGGUCCACAGGCAAAAUAAAACAUGAUUCAACUUCAUGUUACUUUUCAGAAACAACGGAGAAGUUGCCUUAACUCUUGCUUGUAUAAUCUCUCCAGUUAAGACAAUGAUGCUCGCUUGUAAAGAAGACUCUCCCUUCUUUGUACAAAAUGAAAUAUACCAGAAACAACAACUUUGUUAUCUUGCUAGUGUCAAUGUAUAGAUGAUCAGCUUUUUCUGUAGCUUGUAUGGACCGUCACAUUUUUGCUAAGAAGAGAACCCCCUCACCCCACCCCUUCCAGACUUUCUCGUUCCUAAUCAUCCAAACUGUUUUAACUCGUGGUGGACUGUCAAUCUUUUUUGUGUACAUUUUAUAGUAUUAUUUAUUGUUGACAAGUUUUGCAUUUGCAAAUAAAAAAGUAAAGGUGGUUUGACCUGAGCAUUUGAUUCCAAUGUAAAUGCUUGGUGAACAGUGACAUGCUUUUUCUUUUCUUUUUUUUAAUCAUUAAAAAGGAGGACACAGUGAUAUGAGGAGGCCUUUUUAUUAUGUAGUAACAUGUACAUAACAUGUGGCCAAAAUUGCUUUUGGAGAAUGGUCAUUUUUUUGUGUUGUAACAGUAUUUGUUUUAUUCAGUGAAUUGCCC
This is a long non-coding RNA of Astatotilapia calliptera (eastern happy), 1755 nucleotides long. The record is from Ensembl. NCBI's taxonomy places the organism in Eukaryota, Metazoa, Chordata, Actinopteri, Cichliformes, Cichlidae.